CCUACGGGAGGCAGCAGUGGGGAAUAUUGCGCAAUGGGGGCAACCCUGACGCAGCCAUGCCGCGUGAAUGAAGAAGGCCUUCGGGUUGUAAAGUUCUUUCGGUAGCGAGGAAGGCAUUUAGUUUAAUAGACUAGGUGAUUGACGUUAACUACAGAAGAAGCACCGGCUAACUCCGUGCCAGCAGCCGCGGUAAUACGGAGGGUGCGAGCGUUAAUCGGAAUAACUGGGCGUAAAGGGCACGCAGGCGGACUUUUAAGUGAGGUGUGAAAGCCCCGGGCUUAACCUGGGAAUUGCAUUUCAGACUGGGAGUCUAGAGUACUUUAGGGAGGGGUAGAAUUCCACGUGUAGCGGUGAAAUGCGUAGAGAUGUGGAGGAAUACCGAAGGCGAAGGCAGCCCCUUGGGAAUGUACUGACGCUCAUGUGCGAAAGCGUGGGGAGCAAACAGGAUUAGAUACCCUGGUAGUC
Molecule: ribosomal RNA, 465 nt
Filed under: uncultured Haemophilus sp.
Lineage: Bacteria; Pseudomonadati; Pseudomonadota; Gammaproteobacteria; Pasteurellales; Pasteurellaceae
Description: bacterial SSU rRNA
Rfam family: Bacterial small subunit ribosomal RNA
Source: RNAcentral